UUAGAUCCUUAUUAACAUCUAUGUUGCAAUCCCAAGAGAAAUCAUUUAGUCAAGUACACAGGGAAUGGAACCAAUCAAAUACCUAUAGAAAAACAGAUUUACCAAGAGUUAGGUAGUAGAUAGAGAGAACCCUAAUUAGUUAGGAUUUCACAAAUAAUGAUCAUUACAGUAGUAUUUUGAUGAAUGACUUAGUAAAAAGUACUUUUGUUAAUUUGUAGGUUAGCUAAGCUAAUCCAAAGAGGUAAAAGGCACGUAAUCAGAAGUGUGUUUGUUCUGUUGGUCAAGUACUACGAUUUUGGUAGGAAUAUAGGGGUGUCAACCUCUAAGGAUAAAUAUUAUAAGGUGAGGGAUAGUCAAGAGAAACAUGAGCGAAUGGUUCAAAAGUAGGUAGUUAAUUGUUGAAAUAGAACCUAAAUUCGUAGUCUUCUAAGCAUUCAAAACUCUAUGGCCCUCAAAAAAAUGCGAGUGAUGAUGUACCUUUUGCAUAAUGGGUCACUUAGUAAUAGUCAAUAGCAAGGUUAAAUCCCUAGCGAAUGUGACAAUGGUUGAUAAGACCAAUUGGUUAAGUUAUUUAUUAUUGACCCAAAACCUAACGAUCUAGCCAUGAUCAGGCUAAGUUGAAAUGAACAGAAUGGAUGUCCUAAGUAAAGGGCUCUGAUGAAGUGUGGCUAGCAAGUGAAAGAUAAACCUAGUUAGGAGAUAGUUGAUCCUCUACGAAAUAUAUUAAAGUAAAGUGUGAUGAUGACAUCUUAUAUAGGUACAACUAUGAUUGUAAGGAUUCUUCUGGCGUGUUGGCUUUACCCAUGACAAAUAACCUAUAAAUGGCAUAGUAAUGAUCCAUAGCAUACAACUUAUUUAUGAUCAAGCGGGUAGGAAAGAAGGAAACAUCCCUCAAUGUUUGUUUAAGGUUCCUAAUUUCCCUUUAAGCGGUAGAAAGGAAGUGAAUUGCCCAAGAAAACCGGGAUAUGUGUUUGGUAGUUGCAAUUAAAUAAUGAGAGUGUAACAAAUCAAUAGUCUAAGUGGUCUUUUGAUCAUGGGGGAAUAAUGGGCACUUUCAAAACAUCUUUCUCCUCCCCACCAACCUUCAAUUACUUUCACUGGGUUGUGUUUUCUCGUGAAUCCUUGUAUGAACUCCUUGUCUAACAUAAUCUGAUGGGUCAAGAACUUGUAUAUAGUCUUCAAGGUGUUAGGAAUGUAAGAACCAAUCCUAGUCUUAUUGUUUGAAUAGAUGUUGUGUUCCUCACACGACUUCAAAGAGAUGAAACAUAGCAUCCAAGGAUGCCUACAGCCUGUACAAUCUCCAGCUCCUCCCAAAACCUGCAUAUGGCCUGACAAGGGUGAACUAGCCUACAUGCAACUUAUAGUUAACGAAAAAACAUAAUGUAUAGUCUCAUGAGGCUAGAUUUGAAACGUACAACUUCAAAAAAGUGUAAUAUUCAGUAUGCAAAUUGGUUUUUGGAUGUCGAUAAUCUUAGGAUUCAAGAAAUUUGAAAUACAAUUAAUUAUUUGUAAUAAUUAAUUAAUCACAAUCAUAGAUUUUAGUGAAUCAAAUGAUGGGUAAUAAAGAGUUAUCAAUGUUUUUAUUUUUUCAUUUUUCUUACACAUAGUUCAUUAUAGUACUCUUUUUUUUACACCAUUUAUCAAAUCACCUUCCAUGUAGCAUGCAUAUAUAGACUCACAUGUGUGAAAUCAAAAAUCAUGGCAUGGAAAUAACCCAAGAAUUCAUUGUGUCCAUCUGUCUAUCAAAGAAUAUUCUUCGAUAAGUCCCACCACGACUCCUUUGGGAUGCAGUCUCUAAAUAAUAACCUGCAACUCU
Picea glauca (white spruce) is the source of this 1816-nucleotide non-coding RNA. The record is from Rfam. NCBI's taxonomy places the organism in Eukaryota, Viridiplantae, Streptophyta, Pinopsida, Pinales, Pinaceae.